Molecule: long non-coding RNA, 1492 nt
Filed under: Homo sapiens (human)
Lineage: Eukaryota; Metazoa; Chordata; Mammalia; Primates; Hominidae
Description: HSALNT0172723
Source: RNAcentral
ACCACAUCUGGCUAAUUUUUGUAUUUGUUGGUAGAGACAGUUUCACCAUAUUGGCCAGGCUGGUUUCAAAGUCCUGGCCUCAAGUGAUCCACCUACCUAAGCCUCCCAAAGUGCCAGGGGAUAACAGGCGUGAGCCACCGCACCCAGCCAGUGAUUUGCUUCACUUUGUAAUAAAUCUGUAUUUGACUCUAAAACAAUUCAUCUAUGUAUUCAGGAAAAAAAAAAUUUUUUUAAGUUAUGAUGAAUCUUUUUCUAACACAAAAUUUUUCUUCUUAGUGGAUAUUUUGACAUAUAUAGUCUGGAAGAUAAGUGGCUUACCUGUAACUCGUGUAAUUGGAAGUGGUUGUAAUCUAGACUCUGCCCGUUUCCGUUACCUAAUUGGAGAAAAGUUGGGUGUCCACCCCACAAGCUGCCAUGGUUGGAUUAUUGGAGAACAUGGUGAUUCUAGUGUGCCCUUAUGGAGUGGGGUGAAUGUUGCUGGUGUUGCUCUGAAGACUCUGGACCCUAAAUUAGGAACGGAUUCAGAUAAGGAACACUGGAAAAAUAUCCAUAAACAAGUUAUUCAAAGGUAAUAGUACCUAUUCAGUUUCUUAAUGCCUUAAUAGUCAGUCUUAAGAAUAAAUAUCACGGACAAAAAUCAAGUAGUUGAUCCUUGCUUUUUGUGAGAUAAAUAACUCUAGGCUCCUGAAAACCACUAAAUUCAGACUUAUACAUAGCUUUCUUUUUGGGGGCAUUUUUCAAAAAGAAAAAGUACUUAUUAUUUCACAACUCAUAUAUUUGAGAGUAAUAAAAGCAUAGUGAUUAUGAGCAUGGACUUUGGACCCAGGUUGUCCAGGUUUGAAACCUGCUUCAUCAUUUAUUAGUGAUAUGAUAUUGGGAAAUUACUUAAAAUAUCAGAAGUUGUUUACUUAUCUUCGAAAUGGGGAUAAUUAUAGAACCUACUUUACAUAAUAGCCUUAUGGAGAGUAAAUAAGUUAAUACUACAUGUAAAAUGCUAGAACCAUGCCAAGAACUUAUUAAAUGUUCAUCAUUUGAGUAGAUGAAACAUUAAGCUAAUGCAGAUGAUCAGAAAUCAAUAUGGUUUUCUUAUAAAUGAAGCAUCUGACUCCAUAUAUAUUAGCCUUAACAGCACACAGGAUUAUUCUUCAUGGUUUAGUCAAGAGUCAAGUUACAUAUUAGUAGAAGUUAUAGAACUUAAAAAUUGGCUGGGCGGGGUGGCUCACGCCUGUAAUUCCAGCGCUUUGGGAGGCCAAGGCGGGUGGAUCACCUGAGGUCAGCAGUUCGAGACCAGCCUGAACAACAUGGUAAAACCCCAUCUCUUCUAAAAAUACAAAAAUUAGCUCGGUGUGGUGAUGGGCGCCUGUAAUCCCAGGUACUUGGGAGGCUGAGGCAGGAGAAUCACUGGAACCCAGGAGGCAGAGGUUGCAGUGAGCCAAGACAGCGCCAUUGCACUCCAGCCUGGGCAACAAGAGUGAAACUCCAUCUCAAAAAA